UAACGUACCCCGAUUACCGGGACAACCCGAGGAAACUCGGGCUAAUACCGGAUGUGCUCCCUCCCAUGAGGGGAGUGAGUAAAGGAAGCUUCGGCCUCCGAAUCGGGAGCGGCCCGCGGCCUAUUAGUUUGUUGGUGGGGUAACGGCCUACCAAGACUGCGAUAGGGUAGCUGGUCUGAGAGGACGAUCAGCCACACUGGGACUGAGACACGGCCCAGACUCCUACGGGAGGCAGCAGGUGGGGAAUCUUGCGCAAUGCGACGAAAGCGUGACGCAGCAACACCGCGUGGGGGAAGACGGCCUUCGGGUUGUAAACCCCUUUCAGGAGGGACGAAGGCCGGCCGGUGAAUAGCCGUGCCGGUUGACGGUACCUCCACAAGAAGCCCCGGCUAACUACGUG
This 400-nucleotide ribosomal RNA is filed under the name uncultured bacterium. RNAcentral's name for it is "bacterial SSU rRNA". It matches the Rfam family "Bacterial small subunit ribosomal RNA", at positions 122 to 507 of the family's 1533-position model. The record is from RNAcentral.